Molecule: long non-coding RNA, 16958 nt
Filed under: Gallus gallus (chicken)
Lineage: Eukaryota; Metazoa; Chordata; Aves; Galliformes; Phasianidae
Source: RNAcentral
GGCCGGGCUGCAAACGUUACCCGAGUGAUACCUAAUGGAGGGGGGCUGCGAGGGGAAGGGGGAGAGGGGAGGAGAGGCCAAUGGAGAACGGGCUGUCUGCUCCAGCAGCACGGCGUUUUAUUCUCACUGCUAAAUGCAAAAUUGAUUUUUUUUUUAAGAUGCAUAAAAAGAAUUUUAUAUAUAUAUAUAUAUAUAUAAAGAGCCUCUGCCUCUCUCUUAUAGUUCCCAGACAAAGAAAGCUGCAGCAGACACCCCAGACAAUGGAUGGUCCUUUCUCUGCUAAGCAUUUGCCUUUCUCAGCAGUUAAGGUUAGAAAAAAAAAAAAAAAAAAAGAAAGAAAGAAAGAAAAAAAAAUCCACCACCCAAGAACCAAAAAAAAACCUCAUUGAAGGAAUGAAUUAAAAAGAUGACCCCGGAAAAUGUGGCAGCCUUUUUAUUUGAUGAGGAAUCAAGUUCAUACAGCGUGUCAGCAGAGGUGCUGCGCUUUGGUCUUUUAUUUGUUUCCUGGCAAUAAGAACAUUCCUUUUUAGGCUGAUAUCAUCCUCUCAUCUUCUCCCUCCCUCUGCCUACCCCUCUCUUCCUCUUCUCGCAUCCUUUUUCCUUCCUCCCCUUUCUCCCUCGCCCCUUUCUCCCUCGCAUUCUCACAUACAUUACCCCUUCCUUUCAUCUCGGGGCUGACCUGAAAUGACCUUUUGCCUGGCACUAGACGUGACUUAACUGAUAAUAGCAGAUACUCGGGGGCCUCAAGCGGUGGCUUGUCUGAGCACGUAGAGGGAGGGCAGAAAGAAAGCUCCCUUUUUUUCCCCCCCUUUCCUCAUAGGCAAAGCACGGGUUUCUCUUUGUAGCAGCGUUUCCUGCAAGGUAGCAAUUAAUGACACUUUGUGCUGCUUAUUGCCCGUUAGAUAAAACCCUUCCAAAGCUUUCCCUGCGGUGUCUGUCCCAACACGCGAGGGAGGGGCGGGGAGGGGAAAUCUGUCUGCGAGCGGCGAGCAGCCCCGCACCAUCACUCGGCUGCCACCGGCUCUGCAUUGCGUCUGCCGCCUUUGUGCUCCGGCUGCAGCCAAACCCAUGUCGGAGCAGCACAAACGUCCUUCUGUCUUAAAUAAUCAACACUUCUAGGCGGCCCAUCCGGCCACAGGGUUAUUAUUUUGCUCCUUCGUGUCCCUCGAAGCCACCGCGGUAAAGAUAAGAUUGCAGGCGGACCCGCUGGGUCGCUGAUUUUAUUUCUUAAUGUUAACUAUUUAUUUGGAUACUCGGCGAGGUUGGGUGAGUUACCACAGCAACGACUCUGCAUCUUGAACAUGAAAGGGCUCUUAUUGUGCCAUGUGGUGCCUCAGAGAUACAGAGAAAGGAGGAGGCGGGGAGGAGAAUUCCUCUUUAAAGAAACAAUAGCCAAACAUUAUGUGAACUCGGGGGCUUUAUAAUAAAGUUGGGAGGCAAAAAAAAAAAGAAAGGAGAAGGGGCUGCAGCGGUCUGCGGUGAAAAAAUGUGCUGACUUACAGAGCUUUGGGCAAAGAGGUGCGCGUGUUUAUAGAAAUAUUAAUUAAUUAGCUGUUAAACAAAAGCUUAAUACAUAUACACGUAUUUUGUUCUCUCCGGCAGGUCGUUUGCUGGUCGGGCUGUCAGACUGCCCAGGCAGAUCAGAGCUGAGGGUCAGAGCCCGAGAUAUGGUUUUUACUUGAUUUUAUUUUAUAAACUUUGUUCUGCUCUUUCUUUCGAGAGAAAGGAAAAGGGGUGGGUGUUGAAGUGUCCAGAAAGGAACCACAGAGUGGUCUGUUUCCCAUUGUCCAAAAUAAUGGGGUGACUGAAACCCCAGACAAUGAGGAAACCUGGAUAAUAGGGUUACUAAAGGAUGCAGAGCAGAAGUACAUGAAUGGCUGCACGCAGAGCUGAGCGAGAUCCAAGGGAGCUUGUUAGCUCCGAUUUGCACUGUCCUGCUCAGACCCGGGCUGGGAUGCACACUGUGCCACCUGCCUGUCCCUGUGCUGGGGUCCAGGGGGGUCUGCGUGCUGCAGAGCGCAUUGCUGUGCUGAGCCCUAUGCUCAGGUUGAGCCCCACAGACCUGCACUGCUCUGCAUAAGACCAGCUCGAUGUUCCCUGCUCUGCCCCAUGCCCAGAUGGAUGAGUGCAUGUGUGCGUAUUUAUCACUAAUAUCUGGGUGUGGGUUUAAGUUCUCAGACCAAGGAGCUCCCCUCGGAAUCCCAAUCCUGUUAGGCUCGGUGCAGCUGUGCACAGAAAUGGCUGCUGCUUGCAGUGACCACACCUUCUGUUGUUAGGAUAAAGGCACCCUGCCCAGGUGUGCUGCAUGUAGGAAAUGGAGCCCUUUAUUGCUCUGCAGGCCUUCCCCGGGAGGGUUCUUGGAGCAAUAGGCCCAGGAAGCAGCCCUUUGCUUGGGUUGCUGUGUUCUGUCUUCUCUUCCACAUCUUUGGGAAUGCAUUGCAGAACUCACAAGUGCUUUGUUGCCUGCUGUACCUCACAGGUAAUGCAUUUCCUUUCCCAAGAUCCAUUUGUAAACCAGUUCAGGUUGUUCUUCCAGCUGUUUACCUCAACUCCAUGCCUUGUGUGGGUGAGGGUGGAGGGAGGGGAUGGGCCAGCUCAGGAGGACAUCUCAGCAGCUUUCUCUGCACUUUCAGCUUAAGGCUUGUUUUGCUUCACGUGGUUGGUAAUGAGAUGCUAACCAUGGGGACAAGCCUCAAAAUGCUAUGUGAAACUUGGCCAGGUCUCCCAUGCUUUGAUACAAAUUAUCUGGGGGAUCAUGCGGUCAGAUGAGAAACUCAUAUGGUUUCCAGGCUUUGGUCGUUACAACCAAACAGAGUUCUUGGAGUUCCCCUGAAACCCCAUAGAAGUACCUCCAUUUGACAAGGGGAAAAAAUAAGGAGCCCUGGGCUUCACUGAAAGAUAACAUUAGCAAUUUAAGAUCUACCACUCAUCAUACGUUCUGUGCUUCCCAUUCCUCUUUGCUUUGAGAUAUGCAAAUCUUAGUGUAUUAAUUAGUAAUGCUUACCGAAGGCAGAAAGGUAUGAGGAUACGGCUGAAUUAGAACAGUGGGAGCUGCAACCUCUUUGGGGUGUUCAGUCUCAUCAUCUGCUUACACACCUGUGCUGUGUAUGCCCACAGUGUUUGCUGUCUGUAUGCUUUUACUACAAGACUGCUUCUUCCCAGCGUUGAGAGCAUCUUGUUUAGAGACUUUACAUUUUGAGCAAUGUUGCAUAACUACUUAGGAUUACUUUCACUCUCCAAUACAAGUUCGAGCUCUAUUCUUAAUUACCUGGCUUUCCAGCUCUUCUUUUUAGAGCACAGUCACUCAGUUGAGUGGGUUAAAUGACUGUUGCAGGUGAAGGACAAGGCAAAUCAUGGUUUACUGCCUGGAAAGCGUGGCUAUGUGAAGUGAUGAUUGUAUUUUCCUGAGCGUGUUAAAGUGUCAGCUGUCUGAAUGUCUCUGGUGGUGGCAUCAUAAAAGAUUCCUGGUUUCUUUCAUACGCAGUGGGCUGAGAUCUGUCGAGGUAAUAUUGGCGUUAAACCUGUCUCUAAUUUUCAAAAUAUAUAUGAAUGAGAGAGUAAGAAAAGGAGUUGGGUUAAAUCGCUGAUCUCUUUAUCAAGGAGGAAAAAAGUGAUGCAGUGGAAGAAGUGAAGUGUAUUUGCCUUUGAUGGCUGCUCAGGUUAAGGAAUGAUGGCAUAUUAUGGGUUAGCAGCCAAUGGAGUUAUGCUUGUAACUCAAGUCGCAGUGGCCUCUGCUGAGUGUUUCAGGUUCAAAGGCUUCUAAUGGUGCACGGAGCAGCCACAACCUGAGAGCACCACCCAGGAACACCUGUGUGUGCAGCGUGGGGCUGCCCAUUGCAAAGGUACAGUCCAGGCUCAGCAACAGUCUUUGACUCUACACGUUGUUCAGUACAUUGGCAUCACCUCUGUCUUCCUGCUCGUGUCCUCGUGGCUGUACUAAAGCCCACCUCCAGUCACCAGAGUGCCUUCUGCUGGCACAGGUUCCUUGGGACACCUGAGGCCAGCUGAGAGGUAACAUGAAACAGGAGGUAGAUAGGAGGCCAUGUGAAUAUUGCUCUGCUCCAAAACCUUCCAAUCUGCUUUUAAUCCUGUAUUUGGAGAGUAUCUCUCACACUGGGAAAACAUGUGCUGUGUAAUAGGAGCAAUAGCAGCGUACAGUAUGUGUCAGAAAUGGUUAUAAGCAACAAACUGACCUGCUGGAGUCUUUACUACUUAGUACGGAAAUGCUUAUGUGUUUAAUGGUCUAUUAACUCUUCAGCCAUGGAACAUUGUAGAUGUAGCUGUUCCUCAGCUGUGGGACAGAACAGUGUGAAGGAGCACAGUGUCCUGGCAAGGUGACAGCAAGAGCCCAGUGAUGCUCCUCCAUCUGCCCAUCCACAGCCUCCAUGUGGCCCACAGAAACCCACUGCUCCCCUCUGGGUAUGGGCAGGACCUCUCCUGGUAGUCCCAAGCUCGUGGUGUAUCAGCCACCCAGCAGACAACUGUUUCCUCUGCAAUCAGUGGCUUAAGUCCUGCGUGCUAACAACACCAACAAAAAGUGAUUGAGAUAAGCUUUAGCUUAUUAGAAACUGUUGAGUACAUUGAGCGUGUGGGAAUGGCUGCUAAAAGCAUUUGUAUUGCUUAGUAAUUUGAAAGUAGAGAAACAUAAAAAGGAAAUGAUGUCCACAGUGAGUUGGAUGGUGUUCCUGCAUCUCGGGAGACACUGGAGAGCUGGAAACUGGAGCGUUACUUAAGAGUUUUGACCCCUGAAACUUUUGUCUCCUUCCAGCUGGCAAGUGAACCGUGCUAAGCAUGUAGCGGUGCUGGGAAUGGCUCACCACGUCCUCCAGCACAGCUCUGCUUUUGGGAGGGAAAGGGGAGAGGAAGCUGCAGACCCUCUGCCUCUUUCUGCCCCACGUGUCCCAUUGUGCCCAUGCAUGUUGCUGCACCGAGGGGUCUGUGGGCAUGACUGGUGAUGGAAACUGGGCAAUGAUCUGCGGUCUCAUCUCUUCCAUUAAUUUCAUCACGUAACCUCGGGCACAUAUCCACAAUCUCUCAUCUGUGAGUGGGAGUAGAAUCGCUCGGUGUACCUUGAAGUGAAGGCUCCCAGCUGCCCAUGCAUUGCUCUGCCCCAGCCCCCGGCAAGUGAGCUCUCUGCUGAACCACUGCAGGGAGCAGCAAAGUGCUGGAAGGCGCUGCUGGGUGACGUGGGACUGCUGUGCUGCAGGCAGUGACAUUUCAGCAGCUGAUGCUCCACCAGCUCAGGUGAGGGCAGGCAGCCAGGCUGAGCACUCCCAGGAAUCAGGGUGUUGCAUCUGCAUGUGCUUUAAUUAACCAGCAGGAGAUGGCAAGCGCUCAGGAGAGGCUUUCUUAACUGAUGCUCACUGAACGGGCUAACAUCUGCAGAUUUCAGACACAACUUGCACUGUACCCAAUAGGCCUACAUCCCUGAGUGCUGUGUUAGGUGUGUGGGCACAGGACAGAGGCACUCGGAUUGAAGAAGGCUCCUAGAGGAGGAAAUUGUUUCCCUUGGAAGUUUCAAAUAGAAAGAAAGUAAACUGCCUUGAGUAUUUUGAGGGGUCAGUGGACUGAUAAGCAAAAAAAACCAGGCUGCAGCAUCUCCUCAUCCCAUAGAACAGGGUAGCAGAGCACCUUCCAUUGCCCUUGCAUUCUUACAGUACUAUUGCAGCUUAAGUAGCUGUGCUUUUUUUCUCUUAUGUAUGGGCUGAGUUUGUAGGCAAGUUUCAUUAAUGAUUAUAAUUUAAUUGCAUAAAUUUCUUGCAUGCUGAUAGAAGAAUAGACCCCCUGCUUUAACUGUGCGAAGUGCUCUGGAGUGCUUUUUCCUCUCCUUGUGUUAUGACUUGUUUCUCUAAACGUUGCUUUUGUGUAAUUAUUUGUUUAAAUGUCAGAAAUGCUACAAAUCCUGCAAACACCACUAGGUGUAGCACUCAAUACCAGGAGUUUUAGUCCUGCUGACUUUCUUACAAUUACGUGUUUAUGGCAGAAGUACAUCUUAAAGUGGUUUCCAAGUAAACACAAGACAAAACUGUUUGCAUGAAAGCUUUACUGAGACGUGCAUGUAUUGAUUGCGUUUACCUCUGUAACAAAUGAGAGGCUUUCAGUCCUCUAGCAGUUACUGAAGUAGUUACUUCAAGGUCUACAGUGAUACAGAGAUAUGUGAAUGCCCCCAGACGGUUUAAAAACUACUAAAUCCAUGCAGGAGCUGAUCAAAAGGAAAAGUAUUACGUGCAGUGGUGUGGUGCACAGGUAAAACAGUGAUGGUAGCCACAUAAACAGACAACAGUAUUUGCAGGACAGGGUUCUAUUAAAUUCAUGGGAUGUAGGACAAACACACCGUGGCACUCACUUUGACCCUGCAAACCACUUAAAUGGGAUCAGCUAAGGCAAGUCACCAUCAGCCCAAGAAAGGAUGAAGGAGGUCUUAAGAAGAAAGGAGAGUGCUUUGAAUAAAUCAGCAACCAGUGGUCUGGAAGAGAAGAGAGUGAGAAUUUGGAGGAAAAAAACAGCACAACAGAUGUGUGCAGGUGGAAGUCAGAGAUCGAUUGGUGCAAGCUAAGGAAGGCUGCUUGGAAAUUUCUGAAUGAAGAGUCGGCGUCAGUCUAUCCCAAACCAACCUUUUUCAUCGCAUCGGUUUGAACGAUGCUUUCCAUGAGCCUUUUCAGAUGGCUUGGUAAAGAAUCACGCCUUCUCUUCCCCAACCCUGGGAAGUUAACUACCAAGGUUCCCAAAUCACGGUGGUCAUGCUUGAGGUUGUCCAUCCUGAUCCUGGGGAUGGGAUGUGGCCACUGCAGAGCUCCUGCUCUUUGGGAUCCUCCUAAAGCAUAGGUGCUCCUUGGGGGAAGCCUGCUGCCUUUCACCUUGCUCCAUGUCUUUGCAAAGCACGUGGGGAAGCCUUAACAAAGCGAUGACAUCCCCAGAAGGAAGCUGUUGGAAUCCUUCCUGGGUGGAAAAUUCAGCAUUAACAAAAUCAAACACUGAUAAGGAACAAAAACGAAGGAAGAAAAGUAAACUUUCACCUUUCUUCCACUCUCCCCUGCAGACUGUCAUGAGCUAAACGCAGUGUUAUAUAAAGAAAUGUAACAUAUAAUCCCAAGGUAAAGCUUAAUAAUUCUCCCUGCUGCAAAAUUUGCUUUAUAAAUGACUUUCCACUCCUCUCACCCCACUCUGAUUCCAGAGCACUGCGCAUGCUGGCAAUGAAGACCUUUUUUGUUGGAGUGCCAAAGUUGAACUCACCAGCGACUUGAAGUGGAAAAAAUGAAAUGGAUCCGUUUGUUGCCUGGGGAUGAUGUGCAUCCUGUGCAAAGCACCGGGAGCAGGAAUUUAAGGCAGACUGUACUGGCUUGUAGCUGAGGGAGGUGAUUGGGGACAUGGAUAUUACUGCCUUGUUUUAUAACGUCUUGACCCUGUUGUUGUGCAUAUUGACAGUUGUCAUCUUCCUCUGAGAUGUUUAUAGACAAAAUAUGGAUCUUGCUUUGCAGCUAGCUCCUGGAGGUGCUACAGCUGGAGAUUGACAUGUGGGAACUCAUAGUCUGAGCUCUAAUUCUGGCUAGCCACAUAGUAGGGUGUUUGAUUUUUUUGGUUGAAACGGUCCAUAAAGAAACAUAGCAGUCACCGUUCAGGGAAAUCUUCCAUCUUUGCUAAGGUUCCAAGGUCCCAGAGAGCAGAAAAGCAAACACUUGAGCAUGUCUGGAAUUUGUAGGAACUUCAGUUAGAUUUUAGGGUCCAGUUCAAUUCCUAAGGCACUGUGAUGCCUGAGGAAUUCCUGCCUUUUGGCCUGUGCCUUGCAAUGCCAUGGAUGUGUAUUAUCUGCUCGUCAUUAUGGUUGGAUGCUGAUAUUCUCUGCACCGUGCUCUGCUCAGCUGAAGUCUUUAUCAGACUGCUGGCUUUGUUGGGAUUAGGUACCAGCAAACUCAUUAAUCCUGUAGAGACUGAUAGAUGGUGAGUCUUCCUAUGCCAGCAAAAACACAUCCAGCUCCUUCAGGAUGAGAUAAUGGCUUUUAGUUAUACUUGAUCAGAAACAAAACUCUGAACGUUCUACCUUCUAUCAGAAAUUACUAACAAAUCUUGAUUAAGGUAGACAAGCUUUUUUCCUUUUUUCCUAUUUUGUCCUUCUAAAGUAUCAUGUCUCACUGCAGCUUAGAGACAGCACAAAUGAUGUAGCACAAUCCUUUCAGAAGCACUGCACUGCACCAGCAUCCUUCUGCAAAUAUUUAUCAUAUAUACCUGUGCACAGAAAACAUUUAGCCUUGAAACAACUCUCCUGCGAGAGGGGAAAAAUGAAGUUCCCUGAGCUCAAUGCUGUUGCUCAUGCAGUUUGUCUUUCCUCCUCCCUCAAUGAAAUUUAUUGUGCCUGGAAUAGAAACCUUAGGUUGUCAUAGGAAAUACUUGCUGUUAUUUAUUAUCCUGCAAGAAGACUCUGCUAAGCUAAUUCACGCAAUAGACUUAAAAAGAGGUCAGGAGGAAACAAACAGUCCACAUUUUUUGGUGAGGAAUCUAAAAAGUACAUGAACCACAGCUCCGAAUGCCUGUGAAAUAUGAGCGGAGCAGCGGGUGCUGCCAGCGCCGUUCACUUUGACCUCAGCAGCAUUGCAGUGCUGGGCAGCAGGCAGCUCCGUGGUGCAGGCAGUGCUCUGCUGAAGGUACCACUGCCCUCCCCACGGUCUGCAACGUUGGGUUGAAAAUGGUUUUGCUGCAAAAUGUCCUGCAGUCAGCUCGUUUCAGAGCGCAACAGGGGAGGGGUGUGAGGCUUGCCUUGUUUAAUGCGAAGUUGAGUUUGAGUCUCUGGGAGUGUUGUGGCUGUGGCUUGAUCUGUCCUGCAUUGUUUGUAGCCUUUUGCCAGCGCUGUCUCAAAUUGAUUGUGGCAAUUUUUGUAAUAAUUACAUCCAGUUCCUUUUGAGUACGAUAAAUCAGAGAUGUGAUUUGCCCAAACUUAUGUGGAAGACCAGAGCAGGUCUGGGAACUGCUGUGCUUUCAGUUUCUGCUCUGUCGUUCUGUCCUAGCAAAGCAAGUUCUUUUCCCCACCUUUAAAGCUAAAGCUUCUUGUGCCUUUGCUUCUAAUACGUUUAGAUUACCUGCUGCAUUCUGGGAAACCUGCCAGCUACUCAUAUUUAAUAUUUUAUCAAUAAAUGAAUGCAUUAAUUCCUCUAAAAUAGCUCCUAAGGUUGAAAGAUAGAUGGUUUGGUCAAAUUUUUGUAUGUGCUCAUGGAGUUUCACUCAGUUUCUUGCCUCUGAGCUCAGCUACUUGGGUGUAAUGAAAGAGGAGAGAGGGGCAAACCUACAGUCUUGCAGUUCCAUCCCUUUGAGGCUGUGUGCUCCCUGCUGGCAACGGCCCUCAGGCUUCCCCUGGAGCACCCUUUGCUCUGCUGUUGAGGCACAGGGUCUCCCAGAAGCAGCUCUCCUGGGGCCAUUGGUGUCCCCCAUGGUGGUGGGGAACUGCUGCUGGCAGAGCUGAGGUGCCACGUUCCUUUGGUAGAGAUGCUCUGACUGUGGGUCACUGCAUGCACAGCCCGCGUGGGGCUCAGAGCCAGGGCUGCAGCAGGGUGGGGGUCUGACUGAGGAGAGCUGGGGCUGCCCUGUGCGGGACACAGCCGCUUCCAGCCACUUCUGUCUUCCUGCUUCCAGCUGGUUCUAGCCUUGUUCCGGCUGGUUCUGGUUGCUUACAGGGCACAGCUGAGGAUCAGCAUGUGGUUGGCCGAGGUCACUGCAGGCAGUGACAUUCCCCCCAGGCUGUAGCUCCUCACCCAGGGCGCCCCAGAGAGGACAGUGAAAUGACAAGUGGGACAGCAUGGCUGCUUCUCCAAACACACUCAGGACAAGCACUGCUGCAGUUCCAGCCCAAUUCCUGCUGAAAAUCAAUAGAACAGAGGCUUCUGAGUCACGUAACUCCAUUUGAAAAGCUUCUCUACGGCCAAAAGCCAACAUGACUGCUGAGAGGACCAGAAAUAGAGCCCCACCCUUUACAGUCUUCCUUUAAUUUAUCCUUUCCCACCGACAGUUGAAGGAUGGAUGCAUCUGAGCACCAGGAGCAAGGAAGAUGAGAGCCAGCAGACGGCGUCCCUUGGGAAGUCCAGUUCUUCUCUCUUUGUAGUGCUUGGAGUGGCCACAGGGAAGCACGGGCAGGUAGUGCUGAGCUCGCCAUGUUGUGAUGCUGGCACAUGCAGCCGUGCCUGCUGCUUGCAUAUGGUGGAAAAAGCACAAUGCGGCUCCAAUUCCUCCGGGCAAAGAUGAUGCUGUAAAUAGCAUGGCCAAGUUUCAAGCUCUCACAGUACAGUGGGAAGCGAUCCAGGCUUUUCUGGUGUCAGGAAGGAGAGCAAAAACGCAUUUUAUGCAUCCUAGGGGGAAAAGAGAAGCAAAGCCGCCCCAGCUGGAGUUGUCAGCUCUGGGAGGGGCAGCCAUUUGGCUCUCAUUAAGAGUGGCAACAAUAGUUCCCCAUUGGAUCUUGGUGAAUGUGCGUUGGUGGGCUCUGUCGUUCACCCUGGAAAGGACUGAUGCCAUGCCAAAGUCUGUUCCAGGUCUGUGCCUUAGGGCACAGCUUUCUGGUUAGGAUACGUAGGCGUCAUCCCAAAAAUCAAGCAGUCCAAAGCUUGUGCAGUUCCCUGUAGGCUUUUCACUUAUCCAGGCUUUUCCCAGCCCUCAUCCUGACUCACAGAUGCCUGAAGGACACUGUUCUCCAGUUGAUGAUCCAACUAGGGGUCACUUGAUGGCUUCUAGGCACAGCACAAGCCUCCUUUCUCUGCUCCUUUGCAAUCCUGCCCAACUCUUUGCUCUUUAAAGGCCCCGAUUGCAGAGUCUAAAAGGAGUUUAAACACCUCAUUCCCACUGAAAUGUACUUUGGGCUGCUAGCAGGUCUGUCAUCCUGCAGUCCCAGCUCAAAGGCAAGUAGGGCUGGUCCCAGUUUCCCUCAGAGAAACCAAACUCAAUCCUGUGGCAGGACAGAACGUGCAUCGCUGGGCUUGUCUUGACUUACAGGAAUCGUACCAUUGGUGUACAGUGCUCCAUAUAGUCUUCAAAUAACUAACAGGAGAGUUCUGUGGACUUGAAUGCCCCCAAAUGAUUUUUCUUUCGAGAAGAAGACUGGAGGUAGAGCGCUUUCCAUUUGGACACGGGAUUCGUCUGAGCGCUGGGCCAACGCUGUGCUAAACAAAUUGUCGUGCCAACCUCUUAUGGGUAAUUAGGCAUGAAGGGAAUCAGCAGUCUGCUCCCUGUGCUGUGACUCACAGACGGCGGGUUUGCAGUGUGCCUUCAGCUUCCAGGGCUGCAGCACUGUGGCACUCUCAAGGAAGAUGAUGGAUCCUGAGCAUGCAGCAGCCCUGAGGAGCUCGGUGGGGAUGGCACAGCCCUGCGGUGGCAGUGCGUGGUUGCAGCGUGGAGCGCUUCAUGCUGCUGUUCUAUCAGGAGUGCAGGAGGGAGGGCCCAGCUGUGGGCAGCUGUGGAGUUUGUGUGUCACCAUCUCUCUAGCGGGUUACCAGCACUGUACCAAAGUUGCCAUCCUAGGGUCAUGCCAUGAUGGUGCUCCUAAGGUGCGUUAGUGCUCUGUGCAUUGGUUUGGCUCCUGCUCCCAGUUGGAGCUCAGUGUAAACUCCUGGGCUCCAGGUUGGAGCAUACAGGUGCUCUGUUCACCCAGCUGGGCUGCAGGAGUAGCUGUGAGCAACGGAUGAAGACAAGGAUGGCUCAGAGCACCACAACUGUUUGCUGAGUGACCUAUGUUUAAGCCCUGGGUUCAUCACCUCUGAGCUUUAGGGUCAUCCUGGUCGUGAGUAAGGUGCACUGUCUGCCUGCUUUCAAUGCCUCAGGCUUUAUGAGCCCUACAGAUCUCAUUCUCUUUGUGCAGCUGAAUGACACAGCCAUGAAAAGUGGCUGAGAGAUGGGCCAGGGUAAAAAUCCAGUUGGUCUGACAGCUUGUUUUGUACUGUUAGGGACUUCCCCAACCAAAGGAAAGCUUUGGGAGGUGAGAUGGAGGUGUACCAAGGGGAAAAGCCUUUUGGUUAGCACGCUGGGGCUUCAUCAGCCUAAUGUGGCUGCUUCUGCACAUCUACAGGAAACUUUCUUUCUCCGGGGAUUUCCAAACCCUCAAGAUAAGCACAGUCAAAAUACGGCACGGUUGUUUUUAUCAUGCAGUUUGGGGACUUUUCCUUGUGUGAUCCUGAAGGAAACCAGGAAGAGCUGGGGUGUGUGGGCACCUACGCUUCUUUCUUUCUAUUAUGAGGUUUUUAAAGCUCGGUUACCCUUAGGAGCGACAGACUGAGUGGUUCUGCACGUACCCAUGUGAGUUCAGUCCCAAUGUGCGCUACCACAAUUUGCAAUCUAAACGGGGUCUAAAUGGGACAUUUGGAAUCCAGGGACUUGAUUUUUGCCGUGGUCUGUCCCCUUCAAACCCGGACCCACAGCCACGCGAGGUCUGCAGUUGCUCAGAUACAGAGGUCACAAUCAAAUUGUAACCUAUUCUAAAACGCGGUGCGAUAGUCGUUAUCUUGGAGGCCUUGGGAAUGAUGGCAGCUUAGUUUUUGAUUAGAGCUCCUUACCCUCACAAUACCGCAGCCCUUGUUAUUCCAUUGUAACUCAUCGUGUGCCACUUGGUGUUUUUAUGACACGGCACUCUGGGCCAGCAUAGCCUUCAUUACAAAACAUCUCCUGGUCCUAUUGUGGGUGAGAAUUGAGAUGUGAGAGCUAAGCGUAACCUGAAGGGAGAAAAAAAAAAAAACCUGGCAAGCAGCUGAAAAGCUUGAAAUGUAAUGAAAAGCUUUAAAAAUAACACAUGCGAUUUUGUAGAAUUGCUUUUCUUCAGCAACUCUUGCAGGCUUUGUAAGGAGGGAGCCCUGUGCUGCACGGUGUUCAAACACUCAGACACAGCAAUAUUGUAAAUUGCAAAUUGAAGUGCCAAAACCAGUCUGUCCUGUACAGGUCACUGAAGUAGACGCAGCUCUUGCCUGAAAGCAUUUGUAAUCUAAAACCGUGCUGUGAUUCCCACUGAAGGUAAUGACAGAACUCCGAGUGAUUGCAGAGGGAACAGGACGGGGCUCUUACUAAAGGGAAGGGUCUUUAUUUUUGCUUAGCAGAUACUCCUCACCUAGGGCAAAUCCCAUCAACUUUUGUUCAGGAAUCUCAGAAUCUGAACUUCUUUACGAGAUUUAAAGAGAAUCCCCAUCUGUGACUGAAGCAUUUAAUCAUCCUUUAAAAGCCGGUGCAGUUUUAUUUUCUCUGGGGAGCGAGGAGCAUUAGCUGAAGCAUAAAGCAAACUAUACCAAGUGUAGAAAAAACUCAGCCCGAUGUCCUGUUUGACAAACUGACCUGCGGGUCACAACCUGGGUUUAUUGAUCUGUGGGGCCAUGUCUGGGUGUCGGGCUUGUUUUCUGGACUUUGGUUUCAGCUGCAUUCCUGACUUCUGAAAGAGUAGGGGGUGUGGAUUUCUACUAGGAGUAACCACUGGGAAGGAAGUAAUGUUCAUUAAGUGUGCAGGCAGUGCAGGACUAAGCAUGCUCAGUGAAAAAGCUUUUCUCCCUUGCCUGUCAAGCCCUGUGUUUGAACUCAUUCCAGAAUGCCGGAUUUACUUUUCACCAAGAAGCAGUACCUGGCCGGACUGCAUUUUUCUCUCUCUCUCCUCAGCCAUGGGAAGAUUGGAAACAAUAUUCUUCUGAUGCUCAGUGCGCUCAGCCCGCGUGCGUGUGCGGCUGUUGCAGUGGAGGAGGAGGACAAACUUUGCUACCUGUGAGACGAAGGCUGGUAGCACUGGAAAUGAAAACAGUUCCAUUUACGAUACUGUUCUCAGGCUCCAUAAAUGGCUGCGGAGUGCUGCACCAUUUCAGCUGAAGCUCUGUGCACAUCGUGAGCUCUGUAAAAGUUUGUGGGAGCUGCAGCUCGGGUCGGAAUCCAUCGUCUGGAGCUCCUCCUUGGGUGGAGCUGCAAACAAGCAGAAUUUUCUGCAUCGGUAUGCAAAUUGCCCAAAGAAAUGGGAGCCUUUCUGAGUCGCCUCCGUGCUGCUGCUGGGGUUCAGGUGGUUGGAAAAACGAGCUUUGUGUUCACAAGGCAGCAGGGCCGAGGGCUGCUCCAAAGUGCCUUUGUUUGAGUAUAUGUAAAGCUAUCAAUGCGUCAUUCUUUCUGCUUCAGCUGCUAGAGACUCCCAUCUUCUCUAUUGAUUUUACCCAGAAUGCUUACUGCCCUUGAAGGUGUGACCUGUACCUCCGGCUAAUUUAUUUCUGUCAUGGCUGCAGCAUUUUUUAGAGGGCAGAGGGGGUAGGAGAGAGAACAAUGAAUUCAACAUGGAAUAUAAAUCCCAAGUCUGUGGCCUUCAGACAUUCCAGCACACAGCCCGCUCCAUUCUCCCAUUGGGCAUUCUGCACGGUCUUGGAUUAAGAAUAAAAAAAAAAGAAAGGCAUUUGUAUAACUAAUCAGGUGAGCCAUUCUGGGAUAAUCCCUUUGGUCACACAUACUGGCAUAUAUAUUACAACUUUGCUGGGCUGCUAAACCUUCCUCAGUGACGUCCUCGUGGAUGAGCCCGAAUCAGAAGUCGCACCUUGAUGGCCUGGAAUCAUUUUGGAUCUGAGCACUGCUGCUUUAACGUCUGUAAAUCUGUCAUGUGGAAUGUGAAAGGACAAAAAACUUUUGUGUGUGUGUGUUGAAAACUCGUUUUGGACUACCGUGGUAGUGAUGGAUCUUCUUUGUUUCACUUUAUUUUUGUUUUCGUUUGUUAUUUGGCACUUAUUUGUUCCUGAUCAGGUUUUUAUAGUGAAAAAUAAGUGAUGUGUAAGCACAUGAGUUGAAACUCUCUACAAAUAGUGAGAUUAAGCACCUGGCCCCUUUCAUUAUUCUAUUGAAAUAUGUGGUUUUUGCUCUCGUGACCUGACCGUGUAGCUGAAGCCUUUCUCCCCUGCCCCAUGCAGUUCAUCAAUAGUCCAGGAUUUCUAUAGGGCAAACAUACUGCCCUAUAGAAAUUGUGGAGGGCUUGGAUGGAAAACUUUGUUGGUUCGGUGCUGUGCCUUGGGGGUGCGUGCAAGGAAUGGGAUGGAGCAUGUGGUGCUUUAUGCAUUGCUCCUCCCACCUUGCUUGGUUUCUACAUCCGUAGCCACAGAGCGCUCUGAAAUCAGGGACAGAAAGGAGCAAAAAGGAUCUGCAGUGUGACGAUAGUGAUACUGAAUCACUGCCCAGGCAGGCUGGUUGAAACUACAGCUCAGACCCAAGGUUGGUGUUGAGGUUUGAGCUCGUCGAGAGAGGUGACUUAAAGGAGCCAUAUCAAAACACGAGCUGCACAUAAAGCAGAGUAACUGCCUUCCUGGGAGAUGCAGAUCUCGUGCUGCAGAGCAGUCACUGCAGGAUACCUACCUGGGGCUGCUGCUGCAGGUCAGGUCAGUGAGGCCAGCUGGGGAGGUUGGGCUGCAGAGGAAUGCACCGAGCUCUGUAGUUGAAGCAUUGGAGAUUUCCAGGUGCUGUGCUGGGAUCCACUGCCACGAACAGCACUGAAUUAGCCGCAGGUAACUGAGCUUAGUGAAACACCAACCAGUCUGGCCUGCAUUCAGAGUUUAUAGAUAAAUCUUGUUGCUGGCCGUGGGCUCCAAGUGGGUCUGUGCCACACAGCUGCAAAUGUUUGGUUUGGUUUCCCCAAAUAUUUUCUGCCGUGAAUCACUCAGAAACAUUUCUGUAGCGCCUACUGCUGUGUGGAGAAGAAAAGUGGAACAGAAGGUAUCAAUUUGGAGGAGGAAUGGAAAUAAAAAGGUCUGCGCUUCAUGCAAGGUGCAGAGGGAUGCUCUGCCAUAGGAAACAAAAGGCUCUGUUGGUAUAAAGUGAAUCUUUUUGCACCUCCUCUUUCUGCAUUGUGGUGGAUGUCCACACAUGACCUCUGUCAGCAUAUGGGUUGUUACUCAUGGAAGAAGGCAGCCGGGGCUGGGCGUUCAAGCAUGCAGUCUCCUUGUUUCCUGGCAUUUUUGUGUUUAUAGGUCUCUCUUUUUUCCUUUGCCCCUAAUGGCAAUAAAGUAAAACAAGAUCCGGUCUUUUCAUAGCAUUGCCACUCUCCUAAAACAGAGGGAGGGAGGAAAAGAAAGGCAUUUCCAGCACAGCAGAGACCCCGUGCUCCUGUAAAAGUGUUUUUGGGCCUCCUAGGUAAACCCAGUGGAGAGAGGGAGAAGCAGAAAGGCGUAACUGAGCCGUGGUAGCAGGCACCCCUGUGAUUUAGCACAGUGCCCUGAGGCCUCAUUUAUCUCUCACUGGUAACAGAUUCAGACACUAACUCAGACUGCAGCUCACCUCAUGUUAUUCUGCAGCAAAUCACCGGAAAAAAGAGUUGCCUGUUUUUAUUUCCCCAUUUUUUUUUUCCACCCAGGAGUUGAAUUUUCAGUCAAAAUGGAAAAAUAUUGGGUCGUUUAUAACAUGGAAAGGACACCCUGAAGAUAAGGUUUCAGUGUUCCUUGCACUCUUGUGUUGCCACCAUCAAAAGGUGAUGUUUGCCUGAAAGUGCUUUUGUGCUUGCAGUGUAAAUCAGCCAUUUCAGCACUGAAACAUGUCCGAAUGCUCCUGGUUGCUCCAUGCCCCCUUGCUGGUCCCGGUGACUUUCCAGCUAAAUGUGAUAUCCUUCUUCACUUUCUGUCCUAGAAAGGUGUUUGUGUGCUCUGUAGAACCCCUGAGACGGCCUCACAUCCAUGUUGGGAGAACUGAAUCCCAGGGCUAAUGGCAGGAACAGGGUAUGAGGAUGUCAAAGAAGCACUGCAGACAAGGUGUAUAAGGGGUAGUGGGGGAUUCUAGGCAUGAAAAGCAUUCAAGUAAUGCAACCGGGUGGUUAUUAUUUAAUAUCUUAUAAACUGAAAACAUCAGUCAACUUUUCCAGCGUGCAAAUGAAGGAAAAAUACCUAAAGGUGGGUUUGAGAGAGGUGCUUCACAAAAUAAUUAUAUAUAUAUGAAAAGGUUCCUCAUAUGCUUCCCAGAUGUACCAAUCCCCCAUGUCUGUUCUCUCAGGCUGAUUAUGGAAUACAUGC